AUCGAACGCUGGCGGCAGGCCUAACACAUGCAAGUCGAACGAGUGGCGGACGGGUGAGUAAUGUAUGGGCAACUGCCUGAUGGAGGGAGCUAACGACGGGAAACCGUAGCUAAUACCGCUUAACAUCAGCUGUGCCCAUAUGGGAUUAGCUAGUUGGUGGGGUAACGGCUCACAAAGGCGACGAUCCCUAGCUGUGCUGAGAGGAUGACCAGCCACACUGGAACUGAGACACGGUCCAGACUCCUACGGGAGGCAGCAGUGGGGAAUAUUGGACAAUGGACGCAAGCCUGAUGCAGCCACGCCGCGUGUAUGAAGAAGGUCUUCGGGUUGUAAAGUACUUUCAGUAGGGAGGCGUUACCCACAUAGGAAGCCCCGGCUAACUCCGUGCCAGCAGCCGCGGUAAUUC
RNAcentral lists this ribosomal RNA (406 nucleotides) under uncultured bacterium. RNAcentral's name for it is "partial 16S ribosomal RNA". It matches the Rfam family "Bacterial small subunit ribosomal RNA", at positions 30 to 526 of the family's 1533-position model. The record is from RNAcentral.